GCUUCCAGGGAGGCCUCCAUGUAGGCCUUAGUAAAGCCUGAACUGGAGUAGGCUUGCAGGUCCCAAGCAAGCAAGGAAGUAGGCAGGCAGAGUGGCCCCUACAGCUCUCCGCAGCAGACCUUCUGCCACCCAGCCCAGCAUUUGCCAGUGAAGAGCUGGACCACAGUAUUCAAAUGAGGCAGGCGGCACAGAGGAAAAAAUCCUGAGUUGAGUUCCUGCUGUACAGGAUUAUAGUAUUUAACUAAAAACAAAAACCAUCUGUUGGUAAUGGCUAAUUUGCAGCUGUUUCAAUCAUGUGUUUUAACUGACAAACUACUAGGUGAAUAUGAGAAAUUGCAUUUUAUUUUGGAACUUGAUUAAAUUACUGUUUCAUGUGAUGUGAACAAUG
Hemicordylus capensis (graceful crag lizard) is the source of this 388-nucleotide long non-coding RNA. RefSeq lists it as uncharacterized. The record is from RefSeq and is a predicted model, not a curated record. NCBI's taxonomy places the organism in Eukaryota, Metazoa, Chordata, Lepidosauria, Squamata, Cordylidae. The transcript has 2 exons.